Molecule: non-coding RNA, 561 nt
Organism: Carassius carassius (crucian carp)
Lineage: Eukaryota; Metazoa; Chordata; Actinopteri; Cypriniformes; Cyprinidae
Source: the annotation of a RefSeq genome assembly
AUGGUUGAAAUUUUCAGAGGUCAUCCAAUAUGGAAUGACCAUCUAAAUCUUGCUAAAGAUUCCAUUAUAAAGCAGAAUGAAGCACCGUGGUGGACUUUUGGUGGAGGAACUAAACUGGUGAUCGCUCGUCCCACAGUGAAGCCCUCCGUGUCUCUGCUGCCUCCCUCUUCUCUGCAGAUCUCUGGAGACUCAGCCGCACUGCUCUGUCUGCUCAGCUCUUACUCUCCACAGGGGGUGCAGGUGAGCUGGACGCUGGACGGGUCAGAGGUCACCGAGGGGGUUCAGACCAGCGCAGAGAGCGAGCGGGACGGACGCUACAGCCGCAGCAGCGUCCUGAGCCUCAGCAAAGCACGCUGGGAAGCCGGCGAGCGCUUCGUCUGCAGAGUAACACAUGACGGAGCUGCUCGGGAGACCACGUUCCUCAAGAGCUCCGAGUGCUGAUGUUUCUCCAGUGAAGAGCAGCAGGAUUCACAGCAGUCUCCUGAUUUACAGCUCAAUACUCAAGCAGUCUUUCAAUGUGCUGCCAUUGCUGUUCAUUCAAUAAAGCUUCUGAACGCCUUA